CUCUGAUCUGUAGAGCGGACUUUGUUUAAGCCGUGGCCUAUUACGUCAGUUAAAAGUGUGCUGUGUUGCUUUUUCAGGGAGGUUUUCAGACCAGUCAUUGUAUGUCCUCAGCAAGGUAAUGUUCACUGUACAUUCUGAUGUAUGAAGACACAGACAUUACAUUUCAUUCUAGUUUCUCUUCCUUCUUUAAAGCUGUAUCUGGCACAUUGUUGCAAAUUGUUUUUUUACACAGGUUGCCUACAGUUAUCAUUAUGUUGUCCAUAUCUUAGAUACCACAGUGAGCAAAACUUUAGAAAUACUUUGAAUGAAAAAAUUCUGCACAGCACUGAAACUGCUUAUUUUAUAGCCAUCAGUCUGGAAGAGGUCAAUUUCAAACUGGGGGGGCUGUGAUCAUAUCCCAUCCCAUUAGCUAAGCAGCCACAAGAAACCUUGAAGGAAUAUUGCUGCAGGAGGUGAUGCUGGUAACUCAGUUGCUAGCACACUCACUGAGUCAGUACUGAGCAAAUGGCUCCAAGAGGCAAAGUCUCAUUGGAAGGUGCUGUCUUUUGGCUGAAAUCUAGGCCUUCCUGCUGUACUAUC
Long non-coding RNA from Dermochelys coriacea (leatherback sea turtle), 579 nucleotides. RefSeq lists it as uncharacterized. The record is from RefSeq and is a predicted model, not a curated record. The transcript is spliced from 3 exons. Lineage: Eukaryota; Metazoa; Chordata; Testudines; Dermochelyidae.